AGAGUUUGAUCCUGGCUCAGAUUGAACGCUGGCGGCAUGCCUUACACAUGCAAGUCGAACGGCAGCACGGGAGCAAUCCUGGUGGCGAGUGGCGAACGGGUGAGUAAUAUAUCGGAACGUGCCCAGUCGUGGGGGAUAACGCAGCGAAAGCUGUGCUAAUACCGCAUACGAUCUAUGGAUGAAAGCGGGGGACUCGCAAGAGCCUCGCGCGAUUGGAGCGGCCGAUAUCAGAUUAGCUAGUUGGCGGGGUAAAAGCCCACCAAGGCGACGAUCUGUAGCUGGUCUGAGAGGACGACCAGCCACACUGGAACUGAGACACGGUCCAGACUCCUACGGGAGGCAGCAGUGGGGAAUUUUGGACAAUGGGCGAAAGCCUGAUCCAGCAAUGCCGCGUGCAGGAUGAAGGCCUUCGGGUUGUAAACUGCUUUUGUACGGAACGAAACGGUCUGUCCUAAUACGAUGGGCUAAUGACGGUACCGUAAGAAUAAGCACCGGCUAACUACGUGCCAGCAGCCGCGGUAAUACGUAGGGUGCGAGCGUUAAUCGGAAUUACUGGGCGUAAAGCGUGCGCAGGCGGUUAUGCAAGACAGAUGUGAAAUCCCCGGGCUCAACCUGGGACCUGCAUUUGUGACUGCAUAG
This 639-nucleotide ribosomal RNA is filed under the name uncultured bacterium. RNAcentral's name for it is "bacterial SSU rRNA". It matches the Rfam family "Bacterial small subunit ribosomal RNA", at positions 8 to 640 of the family's 1533-position model. The record is from RNAcentral.